AUCAUGGCUCAGAGUGAACGCUGGCGGCAGGCCUAACACAUGCAAGUCGAACGGCAGCACAGAGGAGCUUGCUCCUUGGGUGGCGAGUGGCGGACGGGUGAGGAAUACGUCGGAAUCUGCCCAGUCGUGGGGGAUAACAUAGGGAAACUUAUGCUAAUACCGCAUACGACCUACGGGUGAAAGCGGGGGAUCGCAAGACCUCGCGCGAUUGGAUGAGCCGAUGUCCGAUUAGCUAGUUGGCGGGGUAAUGGCCCACCAAGGCGACGAUCGGUAGCUGGUCUGAGAGGAUGAUCAGCCACACUGGAACUGAGACACGGUCCAGACUCCUACGGGAGGCAGCAGUGGGGAAUAUUGGACAAUGGGCGCAAGCCUGAUCCAGCCAUGCCGCGUGGGUGAAGAAGGCCUUCGGGUUGUAAAGCCCUUUUGUCCGGAAAGAAAAGCUCGAGGUUAAUACCUUCGGGUUCUGACGGUACCGGAAGAAUAAGCACCGGCUAACUUCGUG
Molecule: ribosomal RNA, 502 nt
Filed under: uncultured bacterium
Lineage: Bacteria
Description: bacterial SSU rRNA
Rfam family: Bacterial small subunit ribosomal RNA
Source: RNAcentral